CCUACGGGGGGCAGCAGUGGGGAAUAUUGGACAAUGGGCGAAAGCCUGAUCCAGCCAUGCCGCGUGUGUGAAGAAGGCCUUUUGGUUGUAAAGCACUUUAAGCGGGGAGGAGGGCACCACGGUUAAUACCCGUGAAUGUCGGACGUUACCCGCAGAAUAAGCACCGGCUAACUCUGUGCCAGCAGCCGCGGUAAUACAGAGGGUGCGAGCGUUAAUCGGAAUUACUGGGCGUAAAGCGCGCGUAGGCGGCUUGUUAAGUCAAAUGUGAAAUCCCCGAGCUUAACUUGGGCAUUGCAUUCGAUACUGGCAAGCUAGAGUAUGGGAGAGGAAGGUAGAAUUCCAGGUGUAGCGGUGAAAUGCGUAGAGAUCUGGAGGAAUACCGAUGGCGAAGGCAGCCUUCUGGCCUAAUACUGACGCUGAGGUGCGAAAGCAUGGGGAGCAAACAGGAUUAGAUACCCCAGUAGUC
Molecule: ribosomal RNA, 466 nt
Filed under: uncultured bacterium
Lineage: Bacteria
Description: bacterial SSU rRNA
Rfam family: Bacterial small subunit ribosomal RNA
Source: RNAcentral